RNAcentral lists this ribosomal RNA (849 nucleotides) under uncultured Mycobacterium sp. Its description in RNAcentral is "bacterial SSU rRNA". It matches the Rfam family "Bacterial small subunit ribosomal RNA", at positions 89 to 950 of the family's 1533-position model. Lineage: Bacteria; Bacillati; Actinomycetota; Actinomycetes; Mycobacteriales; Mycobacteriaceae. The record is from RNAcentral.
GCUCGAGUGGCGAACGGGUGAGUAACACGUGGGUGAUCUGCCCUGCACUUUGGGAUAAGCCUGGGAAACUGGGUCUAAUACCGAAUAGGACCACGGCAUUCAUGUGCUGUGGUGGAAAGCUUUUGCGGUGUGGGAUGGGCCCGCGGCCUAUCAGCUUGUUGGUGGGGUAAUGGCCUACCAAGGCGACGACGGGUAGCCGGCCUGAGAGGGUGACCGGCCACACUGGGACUGACAUACGGCCCAGACUCCUACGGGAGGCAGCAGUGGGGAAUAUUGCACAAUGGGCGCAAGCCUGAUGCAGCGACGCCGCGUGAGGGAUGACGGCCUUCGGGUUGUAAACCUCUUUCAGUACCGACGAAGCGCGAGUGACGGUAGGUACAGAAGAAGGACCGGCCAACUACGUGCCAGCAGCCGCGGUAAUACGUAGGGUCCGAGCGUUGUCCGGAAUUACUGGGCGUAAAGAGCUCGUAGGUGGUUUGUCGCGUUGUUCGUGAAAACUCACAGCUUAACUGUGGGCGUGCGGGCGAUACGGGCAGACUGGAGUACUGCAUGGGAGACUGGAAUUCCUGGUGUAGCGGUGGAAUGCGCAGAUAUCAGGAGGAACACCGGUGGCGAAGGCGGGUCUCUGGGCAGUAACUGACGCUGAGGAGCGAAAGCGUGAGGAGCGAACAGGAUUAGAUACCCUGGUAGUCCACGCCGUAGACGGUGGGUACUAGGUGUGGGUUUCCUUCCUUGGGAUCCGUGCCGUAGCUAACGCAUUAAGUACCCCGCCUGGGGAGUACGGCCGCAAGGCUAAAACUCAAAGGAAUUGACGGGGGCCCGCACAAGCAGCUGAGCAUGUGGAUUAAU